This 433-nucleotide ribosomal RNA is filed under the name Laccotrephes japonensis. Its description in RNAcentral is "partial 16S rRNA". It matches the Rfam family "Bacterial large subunit ribosomal RNA", at positions 1830 to 2523 of the family's 2925-position model. The record is from RNAcentral. Lineage: Eukaryota; Metazoa; Arthropoda; Insecta; Hemiptera; Nepidae.
GUCCUUUAGUUAUUUAUUUAAGGUCUGACCUGCCCAAUGAUUUUUUAAUGGCCGCGGUAUAUUAACCGUGCAAAGGUAGCAUAAUCACUUGUCUCUUAAUUGGAGGCUGGAAUGAAUGGUUGGACGAGAAAUAUACUUUCUUUUUUUUAAUUUAUGAAUUUUAUUUUCUAGUUAAAAAGCUGGAAUUUUUUUAUAGGACGAGAAGACCCUAUAGAAUUUUAUAUUUUUAUAAUUCUGUCUUUUUUUGUUUACUAUUAAGAUACAAUUUAUAAUAUAUUUUGUUGGGGCGACAGGUAAAUUUUUUUAACUUUUCUUUUUUCCUUCAUUAAUCUAUGUUUUUAUGAUCCGUUUAUUUACGAUUAAAAGAUUAAAUUACCUUAGGGAUAACAGCGUUAUUCUUUUGGAGAGUUCUUAUCGAUAAAGGAGUUUGCGA